Molecule: transfer RNA, 71 nt
Filed under: Ictidomys tridecemlineatus (thirteen-lined ground squirrel)
Lineage: Eukaryota; Metazoa; Chordata; Mammalia; Rodentia; Sciuridae
Description: Spermophilus tridecemlineatus (thirteen-lined ground squirrel) tRNA
Rfam family: tRNA
About the family: Transfer RNA (tRNA) molecules are approximately 80 nucleotides in length. Their secondary structure includes four short double-helical elements and three loops (D, anti-codon, and T loops). Further hydrogen bonds mediate the characteristic L-shaped molecular structure. tRNAs have two regions of fundamental functional importance: the anti-codon, which is responsible for specific mRNA codon recognition, and the 3' end, to which the tRNAs corresponding amino acid is attached (by aminoacyl-tRNA synthetases). tRNAs cope with the degeneracy of the genetic code in two manners: having more than one tRNA (with a specific anti-codon) for a particular amino acid; and 'wobble' base-pairing, i.e. permitting non-standard base-pairing at the 3rd anti-codon position.
Source: Rfam by way of RNAcentral
GGGGUUGUGGCUCAGUGGUAGAGCUCUUGCCUAGCAUGUGUGAAGCACUGGGUUCCACUCUCAGCACCCCA